This 1035-nucleotide ribosomal RNA is filed under the name uncultured Ilumatobacter sp. RNAcentral's name for it is "bacterial SSU rRNA". It matches the Rfam family "Bacterial small subunit ribosomal RNA", at positions 1 to 1049 of the family's 1533-position model. Lineage: Bacteria; Bacillati; Actinomycetota; Acidimicrobiia; Acidimicrobiales; Ilumatobacteraceae. The record is from RNAcentral.
GCCCUUGAGUUUGAUCCUGGCUCAGGACGAACGCUGGCGGCGUGCUUAACACAUGCAAGUCGAACGAGGUCCAUCCGAUCUUCGGAUUGGUGAAGACCUAGUGGCGAACGGGUGCGUAACACGUGAGAAACCUGCCCCGGUCUCUGGGAUAACAGUUGGAAACGACUGCUAAUACCGGAUGCCGUCGGACCGUCGCAUGGCGGACCGACGAAAGGGUUACCGGAUCGGGAGGGUCUCGCGGCCUAUCAGCUUGUUGGUGAGGUAACGGCUCACCAAGGCAUCGACGGGUAGCUGGUCUGAGAGGAUGAUCAGCCACACUGGGACUGAGACACGGCCCAGACUCCUACGGGAGGCAGCAGUGGGGAAUAUUGCACAGUGGGCGAAAGCCUGAUGCAGCAACGCCGCGUGCGGGAUGAAGGCCCUAGGGUUGUAAACCGCUUUCAGCAGGGAAGAAAAUGACGGUACCCGUAGAAGAAGGUGCGGCCAACUACGUGCCAGCAGCCGCGGUGACACGUAGGCACCAAGCGUUGUCCGGAUUUAUUGGGCGUAAAGAGCUCGUAGGCGGUUCAGUAAGUCGGGUGUGAAAACUCUGGGCUCAACCCAGAGACGCCACCCGAUACUGCUGUGACUAGAGUGCGGUAGGGGAGCGGGGAAUUCCUAGUGUAGCGGUGAAAUGCGCAGAUAUUAGGAGGAACACCAGUGGCGAAGGCGCCGCUCUGGGCCGUAACUGACGCUGAGGAGCGAAAGCGUGGGUAGCAAACAGGAUUAGAUACCCUGGUAGUCCACGCCGUAAACGUUGGGCACUAGGUGUGGGUCUCAACCAACGAGAUCCGCGCCGUCGCUAACGCAUUAAGUGCCCCGCCUGGGGAGUACGGUCGCAAGGCUAAAACUCAAAGGAAUUGACAGGGGCCCGCACAAGCAGCGGAGCGUGUUGCUUAAUUCGAUGCAACGCGAGAACCUUACCUGGGUUUGACAUGUAGGGAAAAGCUCUAGAGAUAGGUGUCCUUCGGGGCCUUACCACAGGUGGUGCAUGGC